This 300-nucleotide ribosomal RNA is filed under the name uncultured Helicobacter sp. Its description in RNAcentral is "bacterial SSU rRNA". It matches the Rfam family "Bacterial small subunit ribosomal RNA", at positions 496 to 795 of the family's 1533-position model. The record is from RNAcentral. Lineage: Bacteria; Pseudomonadati; Campylobacterota; Epsilonproteobacteria; Campylobacterales; Helicobacteraceae.
UGGAACUCGGUGCCGGACGGUGCGGUAAGACGGAUGGUGUAAUCGGUAUCCGGAAUCACGGGGUUUAAAGGGUUCUGAGGCGGAGAAUUAAGGCAUUGGUGAAAUCCUUUCGCUUAACGAUAGAACUGCCAUUGAUACUGAUUUUCUUGAAUUGGGUUGAGGUUAGCGGAAUGUGACAUGUAGCGGUGAAAUGCAUAGAUAUGUCAUGGAACACCAAUUGCGAAGGCAGCUAACUGGGCCUUGAUUGACGCUGAGGCACGAAAGCGUGGGUAGCGAACAGGAUUAGAUACCCGUGUAGUC